Molecule: non-coding RNA, 117 nt
Organism: Triticum aestivum (bread wheat)
Lineage: Eukaryota; Viridiplantae; Streptophyta; Magnoliopsida; Poales; Poaceae
Source: Rfam
AUACUACUCCCUCCCGUCCUAAAAUAAGUGACUCAAAAAUGACUCAACUUUGUACUAAUGUUAGUACAAAGUUGAGUAAGUUUUGAGUCACUUAUUUUGGGACGGAGGGAGUAGUAU